GGGAAUCUUCUGCACUUAGCAAGAUCGUGACCCUCCCACACAGUACAGUAACUUAUAUACAUACCUGGAGGAAGGGAUGCUUUGCUUUGGGCUUCCUAAAAAUAUUUGGUGAUGGCUGAACCCUCCAACAUGCUCAUAGGACCGGACUCUGAUGCACCCACAAAGGCUGGCCUAGACGAGCAUCUGCUAAAGGCUACUCGAAGGUUCAGGAUUCUAGUCAAUGGAACAAGAGGAAGACUCGAGUGCCUGUAAGACCAGGUCCCUUUGAUGAGGCUGCAGCUAACCCAGAGAAGGAGGGUCGUCUUCUCCUGAGUUGUUGUAUCCUUCACGGUUUUUCUACUUGCAGAUCUUCUCAAAGACUCCCCAAGCCUGGCACUGAAGGGAAUUACAUUUACAGACCACUCCACUGUAUAUUUUUCAUCAGCUCAUCUGAGCAGACCAGACUACCUGCAAAUUACAUAUGAGAUUUCAAUAG
Molecule: non-coding RNA, 475 nt
Organism: Chrysemys picta bellii (western painted turtle)
Lineage: Eukaryota; Metazoa; Chordata; Testudines; Emydidae
Source: RefSeq, a predicted model, not a curated record